AUUGAACGCUGGCGGCAGGCCUAACACAUGCAAGUCGAGCGAGCGGCGGACGGGUGAGGAAUGGCUGGGAAACUGCCUGAGGGAGGGGGAUAACGACUGGAAACGGUAGCGAAUACCGCAUACCAUCAGACAUGCGCCGAUGGGAUUAGCUAGUGGGUGGGGUACCGGCUCACCUAGGCGACGAUCCCUAGCUGGUCUGAGAGGAUGACCAGCCACACUGGAACUGAGACACGGUCCAGACUCCUACGGGAGGCAGCAGUGGGGAAUAUUGCACAAUGGGCGCAAGCCUGAUCCAGCCAUGCCGCGUGUGUGAAGAAGGCCUUCGGGUUGUAAAGCACUUUCAGCUGGGAGGCGUUACCCGCAGAAGAAGCACCGGCUAACUCCGUGCCAGCAGCCGCGGUAAUUC
Molecule: ribosomal RNA, 406 nt
Filed under: uncultured bacterium
Lineage: Bacteria
Description: partial 16S ribosomal RNA
Rfam family: Bacterial small subunit ribosomal RNA
Source: RNAcentral